UAGUGAGUUUGAUCCUGGCUCAGAACGAACGCUGGCGGCAUGCCUAACACAUGCAAGUCGAACGAAGCCUUCGGGCUUAGUGGCGCACGGGUGCGUAACGCGUGGGAAUCUGCCCUUGGGUUCGGAAUAACAGUUAGAAAUGACUGCUAAUACUGGAUGAUGUCUUCGGACCAAAGAUUUAUCGUCCAAGGAUGAGCCCGCGUAGGAUUAGCUUGUUGGUGAGGUAAAGGCUCACCAAGGCGACGAUCCUUAGCUGGUCUGAGAGGAUGAUCAGCCACACUGGGACUGAGACACGGCCCAGACUCCUACGGGAGGCAGCAGUGGGGAAUA
Molecule: ribosomal RNA, 330 nt
Filed under: uncultured Sphingomonadaceae bacterium
Lineage: Bacteria; Pseudomonadati; Pseudomonadota; Alphaproteobacteria; Sphingomonadales; Sphingomonadaceae
Description: bacterial SSU rRNA
Rfam family: Bacterial small subunit ribosomal RNA
Source: RNAcentral